UACGAAGGGGGCUAGCGUUGCUCGGAAUCACUGGGCGUAAAGCGCACGUAGGCGGAUCUUUAAGUCAGGGGUGAAAUCUUGGAGCUCAACUCCAGAACUGCCUUUGAUACUGGGGAUCUCGAGUCCGGAAGAGGUGAGUGGAACUCCGAGUGUAGAGGUGAAAUUCGUAGAUAUUCGGAAGAACACCAGUGGCGAAGGCGGCUCACUGGUCCGGUACUGACGCUGAGGUGCGAAAGCGUGGGGAGCAAACAGG
RNAcentral lists this ribosomal RNA (253 nucleotides) under uncultured bacterium. Its description in RNAcentral is "partial 16S ribosomal RNA". It matches the Rfam family "Bacterial small subunit ribosomal RNA", at positions 524 to 776 of the family's 1533-position model. The record is from RNAcentral.